AAUGCAUCAACUUGUAAGUCGCUCUGGAUAAGAGCGUCUGCUAAAUGACGUAAA
Salmo salar (Atlantic salmon) is the source of this 54-nucleotide non-coding RNA. The record is from Rfam. Lineage: Eukaryota; Metazoa; Chordata; Actinopteri; Salmoniformes; Salmonidae.